AUUGAACGCUGGCGGCAGGCCUAACACAUGCAAGUCGAGCGAGCGGCGGACGGGUGAGUAAUGUCUGGGAACCUGCCCUAUGGAGGGGGAUAACUACUGGAAACGGUGGCUAAUACCGCAUACCAUCAGAUGAUCCCAUAUGGGCUUAGCUAGUAGGUGGGGUAAUGGCUCACCUAGGCGACGAUCCCUAGCUGGUCUGCGAGGAUGAACAGCCACACUGGAACUGAGACACGGUCCAGACUCCUACGGGAGGCAGCAGUGGGGAAUAGUGCGCAAUGGGCGCAAGCCUGAUGCAGCCAUGCCGCGUGAGUGAAGAAGGCCUUCGGGUUGUAAAGCACUUUCAGCGGGGAGGCGGUACUCGAAGAAGAAGCACCGGCUAACUCCGUGCCAGCAGCCGCGGUAAUAC
Molecule: ribosomal RNA, 406 nt
Filed under: uncultured bacterium
Lineage: Bacteria
Description: partial 16S ribosomal RNA
Rfam family: Bacterial small subunit ribosomal RNA
Source: RNAcentral